CAGCAGCCACGGUAAUACAGAGGGUGCAAGCGUUAAUCGGAAUUACUGGGCGUAAAGCGCGCGUAGGUGGUUUGUUAAGUUGGAUGUGAAAUCCCCGGGCUCAACCUGGGAACUGCAUCCAAAACUGGCAAGCUAGAGUAUGGUAGAGGGUGGUGGAAUUUCCUGUGUAGCGGUGAAAUGCGUAGAUAUAGGAAGGAACACCAGUGGCGAAGGCGAACACCUGGACUGAUACUGACACUGAGGUGCGAAAGCGUGGGGAGCAAACAGGAUUAGAUACCCCUGUAGUCCCUGUCUCUUAUAC
This 301-nucleotide ribosomal RNA is filed under the name uncultured bacterium. RNAcentral's name for it is "partial 16S ribosomal RNA". It matches the Rfam family "Bacterial small subunit ribosomal RNA", at positions 509 to 807 of the family's 1533-position model. The record is from RNAcentral.